Molecule: long non-coding RNA, 324 nt
Filed under: Salmo salar (Atlantic salmon)
Lineage: Eukaryota; Metazoa; Chordata; Actinopteri; Salmoniformes; Salmonidae
Description: lncRNA (ENSSSAG00000088678.1)
Source: RNAcentral
AUAAUCUUACUGGGGUGGUAGACUAAAGGUUGAUAAUCUUACUGGGGUGAUAGACUAGAGGUUGAUAACCUUACUGGGGUGGUAGGUUGUAGACUAGAGGUUGAAAACCGUAAUGGGGUGGUAGACUAAAGGUUGAUAACCUUACUGGGGUGGUAGGUGGCAGACUAAAGGUUGAAAACCGUACUGGGGUGGUAGGUGGUAGACUAAAGGUUGAUAACCUUACUGGGGUGGUAGACUAAAGGUCGAUAACCUUACUAGGGUGGUAGAUUAGAGAUUGAUAUCCUUACUGGGGUGGUAGACUAGAGAUUGAUAAACUUACUGGGG